RNAcentral lists this ribosomal RNA (376 nucleotides) under uncultured bacterium. Its description in RNAcentral is "bacterial SSU rRNA". It matches the Rfam family "Bacterial small subunit ribosomal RNA", at positions 524 to 898 of the family's 1533-position model. The record is from RNAcentral.
UACGGGGGGUGCAAGCGUUGUUCGGAAUCAUUGGGCGUAAAGAGCGUGUAGGCGGCUGGAUAAGUCAGAUGUGAAAGCCCUGGGCUUAACCCAGGAAGUGCAUUUGAAACUGUCCAGCUUGAGUAGGGGAGAGGAAAGUGGAAUUCCUGGUGUAGAGGUGAAAUUCGUAGAUAUCAGGAGGAACACCGGUGGCGAAGGCGACUUUCUGGCCCUAUACUGACGCUGAGACGCGAGAGCGUGGGUAGCAAACAGGAUUAGAUACCCUGGUAGUCCACGCUGUAAACGAUGUUCACUAGGUGUUGGGGGUAUUGACCCUCUCAGUGCCGCAGCUAACGCAUUAAGUGAACCGCCUGGGGAGUACGGUCGCAAGAUUAAA